This is a long non-coding RNA of Gasterosteus aculeatus aculeatus (three-spined stickleback), 2898 nucleotides long. NCBI's taxonomy places the organism in Eukaryota, Metazoa, Chordata, Actinopteri, Perciformes, Gasterosteidae. The record is from Ensembl.
UUCCCUCUUGUGUGAGGGGAUCUUGUCACAGUCCCCCCCCCCCCCCCCUCUGCAUAAGCCACGCUGACUCCAAGCAGCUUUACCAUUCCGCUACCGUGAAAACUAUUGUGUUCUUGCCGUUGGUCAUUUUUCCUCAAACUACCAAAUCAUCCAAGUGGGUUAUUUAGUUGGAGUUAGAUUUCUCUGCAGCCGGAUCAAAUCCAGUUUAGUUUUCCAUUUAGUGCCUUCACUAUUGGGAACGGGGAGUCGGAGCCAGCAGCAGCUCACACUCGGAGUGAAAGUCCCCCUGUCCCUUCAGGAUCGUAGCAAAACAACACACUGACGGAGAAUUUCUGCUUUUUUAGGACUUGAUAUGUAUUGUAGCUUUGGUUUAAGAGUAGCCCAAAGUCCAAAGGUCCAUCUGAGGAUGACAAAGUGAUUCUUUUCUGGCUCCAGAGGGCAGUGAUUAAAAGCUGGGAUUGAUUCCCUGGCCCACACUGACAUCUAGUGGUGGGAUCUUGGGCUGAGUAACACCUGUCUGGAGUCAAACAUUCUGGUGGGAAUCACAUGUAUAUCGGGCACUAUUAAAUGAUGUUGUUGAUUUUCCAAACUGUUGGAAGAAGUCUUAAAUCCCUCAAUUUUAAAUCUGCAUCCCUGGAUCUUUUAAGAGUUUCUAUUCGGUUCCUUUUUGGCGGUUUGAAAAGGAAAAGUCCGUAAUCUUUUGGGGACACCUGCUAGAUGCUACUGGGACUCGUGGUUUUAGCGUUAAACCAAAUUUGAACCAAACAAUGCUGUGAUGGAGUCAAGUCUCAAGUGGAACGCCCCGUACAUCCAAAUCUGUUGAUUUACCUGUUGGAAGACGUUGUGAUGAGUAGUUUACACUUUAUUAAGCUGUCUAAAUGUAGAAGCGAAAAGGGUUAGGAGACUCACUCAUUCAGCUUCAUAAGGAAAUGUUCAAAUACAAAGAGUUUGAGCUGCAAACACUGAUCACAAAGCUUAGCUGGAUGUCCAACACAAGCUGAGCUGUGCUCCUCACUGUACAGACGGCCGCGUCCUCGGGUUUAAUCCCUGGUGUUUGUUUGGUUCCAGUUGAUUCGGAGGCAUUUAUUACCCAUGUGGUGUUGUCUUGUAACCGUUGAUUUUUGCUGAUUGUGUUAAUUUAUUCUGUAGAGGUGAACAGAGGACUUUAGGGUUUGGAAGCUGACACCCAGGUGGCACUGUGGCUUCAUAACUGGACCUUAAACCUUUUGUGGGCAAUUGCAUAUUUGUCCACCUAAUAAAAAAAGAAAGAAAGAAAGAAAAAAGACAUUCCGAACUGAUGUCGGAACACGAUUAAAAGGUCCUCUGGGUCUUUUAUUUGUUGACAUCAACGAUUCAACAAUGUACAUUACACAAUGUCUCAAGAUGAUUACACAUAUAGAUGUUUAGAGAUAUAGAGAUACAUACUGAUGCUAUCGGCAAGGAACUGUUGCUACACAUGCAACCUUUUAAAGUGAUGUUAGCAGAAUAAUUUGGUUGAUUCCAGAGAGAUGAACCUGGGAUCAACCAAACAACUUUACAGCAGGAUUGAAUCGUAUGAAUGUACCAUCCAAUGUGAAGUGAAGAAUAUUUUAUGUGCUUUUUUUCUUUUCUUUUUGUGCUCUUUGUGCUCACUUCUCUGUGCUUUUGGGUUUGUUUGUUUUUGCUUUGUGUCAUCUCGGAAAGCACAAAAAUGCAUGAACGAGGCGGAGAAGAAGCAGCGACGACAUGCCGUUAAUGUAGGAAGUGAUCCACGUCCGCCAUGCGAGGCCAAUCGCUGCACAUUACACUGUUCUCCUGUCCGACACAGAUGGAGAACCAUGGAGGUACAGGAAUAUUCAGCAACAAAGUACAAGCCAGAUCUGUUACACCAGAACUGCUUUAUACGAAUACAGAGAAGAAGCUGCUUCUGAGCUUCAUCUCAGUUUUGGUUGAAAUGGAGACACUGAGUCAGCUGCACCAGCUCGCAGAGAUUCAAAUCUUUAGAGGCGUGAUGACAUGCGGUUGGAUAUCCGCUGGGAGCCGCGCUGGGGAACAUGAGCAGAUUUUGUGGUUUCCGCUCACGGGACGCCGGUCCGGUCCUAAAGAGGAAGCUUUUUCCGUUUGAGCCGUCGCUGUGAGAUCUGCUUCCGCCUCAGAGUGACAUCACGCUCGUUUCCAUACGCAGAAUUUAUUUUGAUUUUUUUUCCAACAAGGUUGAAAUGUCUUUUUGGUGAUUUUCUGAAUAUUGUGUUGAUGAUCUGUUUCGUUCCAAUGACUGUUUAUUGGUGGAUAUUAAAGGGGAAUGCCAACUUAUGAAUUCUAACAGAAGUGGAUCCUAGUGAACAGGCACCACUUGGGAAACUUCUAAUUUAUGAACACUGAAAUCUUUAAUCUUCACCCGAGUGGUGUUUGAUCACUUUACAUAACUGACCGGUCAACAUAGACAGAAUUUGUAAAACGGUUGGCGUUUCCCUUUAAAGGUUUACUUAUGUGAAAUCAACCUCAGAAAUCUUUCUGUACAAAAUAUUGCUGAUAAUCAUUCCAUUGCACAUAGUUUACGUUGCGUUUUAAUGCAAAAUCUUAAUUUUGUGGGGAAAUCUGUUUUAUUGUGUUAAUAUUAUUGAAAAAUGUAAAUAUUCCGUUCUGGCAAAUGGGCCGUUCUACAUUUAUAUAAAAAAAAUCUUCUGAGUUUAUCGAUUAAAAUGAUAUUAAUAAGCAGGAGACUUUUUAAUAAACUAUAUUUGUUACACUUCUAUUGUGAAUAAAAUAAUCUUUUAAUAAGCGUUGGUUUGAGAUUUUGUUCUUUCCGACCUGCUUCAUUUAACGUUUCAGCUUAUCUGAACACAUUCACUUAUUCAUUUGCAGUUUUUACUGACUUCAAUGUUUCGAGCCGGGAAUAAAAUCUGAAGUUAAUAAACG